This is a long non-coding RNA of Oncorhynchus keta (chum salmon), 908 nucleotides long. RefSeq lists it as uncharacterized. The record is from RefSeq and is a predicted model, not a curated record. The transcript has 3 exons. NCBI's taxonomy places the organism in Eukaryota, Metazoa, Chordata, Actinopteri, Salmoniformes, Salmonidae.
AACCAUGGAAACAAUGGAAACCAUGGAAACCAUGGAAACCAUGGAAACCAUGUUGUUUGAUCCCAUUCCACUGAUUCCACUCCAGCCAUUACCACGAGCCCCGUCCUCCCCAAUUAUUGAUGCCACCAACCCUCCUGUGACAUUUAAACACAGUUUCAUAGAUCGGAAUGGUGAUUUAUUGAAAUGACAAUAACAGCAAUUAAAUUGACCAGGAAUUUGAAGAAAUCUAAUUGUUCCAUAUUAGAUACAAAUGUUUAUCCUGGUCCCAGAUCUGUGUUGCGCUCUUGUACACUCCACCGUGGAGCACAAAACAGAUCUGGGACCAGGAUAAAUAUUUGUAAAUAUAAAUAAAUAUAAGCACAGAUCUGAGAGCAGCCUAACGCAUACUGGCUUUAAGAAGAAGAAGGAUGGACAUUUGUUUACCUGCUAACAGAGCAUCGAUGACAGUGUAGGUUAGACACACACUUAGCAUGGAUGACUGGGUCAGAGCAUCGAGCACAGUGUAGGUUAGACACACACUUAGCAUGGAUGACUGGGUCAGAGCAUCGAGCACAGUGUAGGUUAGACACACACUUAGCAUGGAUGACUGGGUCAGAGCAUCGAGCACAGUGUAGGUUAGACACACACUUAGCAUGGAUGACUGGGUCAGAGCAUCGAGCACAGUGUAGUUUAGACACACACUCACCAUGGAUGACUGGGUCAGAGCAUCGAGCACAGUGUAGUUUAGACACACACUUAGCAUGGAUGACUGGGUCAGAGCAUCGAGCACAGUGUAGGUUAGACACACACUUAGCAUGGAUGACUGGGUCAGAGCAUCGAGCACAGUGUAGUUUAGACACACACUUAGCAUGGAUGACUGGGUCAGAGCAUCGAGCACAGUGUAGUUUAGACACACACUCACCAUGGAU